AGAGUUUGAUCAUGGCUCAGGAUGAACGCUAGCUACAGGCUUAACACAUGCAAGUCGAGGGGCAGCAUGGUCUUAGCUUGCUAAGGCUGAUGGCGACCGGCGCACGGGUGAGUAACACGUAUCCAACCUGCCGUCUACUCUUGGCCAGCCUUCUGAAAGGAAGAUUAAUCCAGGAUGGGAUCAUGAGUUCACAUGUCCGCAUGAUUAAAGGUAUUUUCCGGUAGACGAUGGGGAUGCGUUCCAUUAGAUAGUAGGCGGGUAACGGCCACUAGUCAACGAUGGAUAGGGUUCUGAGAGGAAGUCCCCCANAUUGGAACUGAGACACGGUCCAAACUCCGUACGGGAGGCA
Molecule: ribosomal RNA, 349 nt
Filed under: uncultured bacterium
Lineage: Bacteria
Description: bacterial SSU rRNA
Rfam family: Bacterial small subunit ribosomal RNA
Source: RNAcentral